CCCACCCUGGCGGCGUGCUAAUACAUGCAGUCGAGCGAAUCAUGAGGUGCUUGACCUCUUGGUUAGCGGCGGACGGGUGAGUAACACGUGGGCAACCUGCCUGUAAGACUGGGAUAACUUCGGGAAACCGGAGCUAAUACCGGAUAAUCCUUUUCCUCUCAUGAGGAAAAGCUGAAAGUCGGUUUACGCUGACACUUACAGAUGGGCCCGCGGCGCAUUAGCUAGUUGGUGAGGUAACGGCUCACCAAGGCGACGAUGCGUAGCCGACCUGAGAGGGUGAUCGGCCACACUGGGACUGAGACACGGCCCAGACUCCUACGGGAGGCAGCAGUAGGGAAUCUUCCGCAAUGGACGAAAGUCUGACGGAGCAACGCCCGUGAGCGAUGAAGGCCUUCGGGUCGUAAAGCUCUGUUGAUAGGGAAGACAAGUACCGGAGUAACUGCCGGUACCUUGACGGUACCUAACCAGAAAGCCCGGCUAACUACGUGCCAGAGCCGG
This 498-nucleotide ribosomal RNA is filed under the name bacterium 1921BAB. RNAcentral's name for it is "bacterial SSU rRNA". It matches the Rfam family "Bacterial small subunit ribosomal RNA", at positions 33 to 520 of the family's 1533-position model. The record is from RNAcentral.